Molecule: ribosomal RNA, 396 nt
Filed under: uncultured soil bacterium
Lineage: Bacteria
Description: bacterial SSU rRNA
Rfam family: Bacterial small subunit ribosomal RNA
Source: RNAcentral
AGAUUGAACGCUGGCGGAAUGCUUUACACAUGCAAGUCGAACGGCAGCACGGGGGCAACCCUGGUGGCGAGUGGCGAACGGGUGAGUAAUACAUCGGAACGUGCCCAGUCGUGGGGGAUAACUACGCGAAAGCGUAGCUAAUACCGCAUACGAACUCUGGUUGAAAGCGGGGGAUCGCAAGACCUCGCGCGAUUGGAGCGGCCGAUGGCAGAUUAGGUAGUUGGUGGGGUAAAGCUCACCAAGCCGACGAUCUGUAGCUGGUCUGAGAGGACGACCAGCCACACUGGGACUGAGACACGGCCCAGACCUCCGUACGGGACGGCGAGCAGGUCGGGGAAUUUUGGGAACAAUGGGGCGACGAAGGCCUAGAUCCAGCCAUUCCGCGUGCAGGAUGAA